GAAAACCACACAAAUUAAAAAUGGCCACAUAAUUACCAUUUCCAGCGCUGGGAAACACGAUUUGAGAUCAUAUGCAUUAGUGCAUCUUGCAACUCAAGAAUAUGUGUCAUCACUGACUUCAGUUCUAAAAAACGAAGUUGAAAGCUCGGAGCUACCAAUUCGAGUUACCGAAAUUCCUAUCCCUCGUAAUUUAGUGGAUGAGAGUAAAAAAGAUGAUGAGAACAAAGAUUCCCCAUGGCCCAACAUUAGCGCCGAGGACGUUGCUAAGGCAAUUUGCAACGCUAUCUCUCUCCCGGUAAUCUCUCGCAGAAACCCGUCCAUUAAUUAAUGCACACGCCAAUGUAUG
Molecule: long non-coding RNA, 346 nt
Organism: Cloeon dipterum
Lineage: Eukaryota; Metazoa; Arthropoda; Insecta; Ephemeroptera; Baetidae
Exons: 3
Source: RefSeq, a predicted model, not a curated record